AUAGCGAUCUAAAGGCUCUUAUAUUUCUUUACAAAGGGAGUACAUAUUACAUGUUACAAAUUAAGCUCCCAAACCAAAAUUGUUAAAUAUUACAUGGUUACAAAUUAAGCUCUCAACAGACCUUAUGAUAUUUAUUAGGGGAGUGCUUGGGAUUCAUUUGUGUAGUUCUUUCCUAAUACAAUUUUGCUACUCACUAAAUCAGUUAAUUGUUUUAAUUGGAAACCAAUAAAUGAUCAGUACUUACUUAUAUAUCUUCUUUGUCAAAUGUGCAAUAUUGAAAUAUAUAUUACGAACAAAAGGAGGCACCAAAACGCCGCUCUCCAUUAGAUCUAACAUUUCUGCGCUUUAGCCACUUCUAUCCCUCCAUGUAUGAGUAUCAAUUGAACAUCUGAAUGCUCACUUCUGAUAGAUAGUUUAACAGCUUGGAUGUGCUUUAACCACUAAUGUCCUUCCAUAAGAUGCUUUGACAUGUGCUGUCGAAAGGAUUUUUGUAAUGAAAACUGCAGAAACCCAUACAUAGUUCGCAUAUAAACAGAAAAUAAAAAUUAACCUCUCUUGUUAGCACUACAUAGUUCACUCAUAUUGUGCAUGCAAAGGCUACAUAUUCAGUUUGAGUGUAGUUAAAACAUCUUCCGAGGGCUUUAUUGUGCUUUCCUAGAUUGAUUCAUUUCUAGGAGAUUAUGUUAUGUUUUAUUAUUGUUCACAAAAAUUACUCCAUGCAAUUUUUUUCUUCAGCUCCCUUAUAUUGUUCUGAACCACUGAUCCAUACUCAAACCGAAUAGAGAGCUAACCAAUUUAGUGAGGCAAACAGAUUCAUGUUUCUUGCGGGCAAAGCAGUAUGUUCUAUUAAAUGAACGGCGGGUGAAAUUCAAGGUUUGUUAGAUUUCGGCAAUGAAAAACAACAUAUGGAAUUGGUCGACUUACCUGGACGCUUGGAGAAAGGAAAUGACGCAGAGAUGAUUUCCAGAGAGCCAUGGGGUAGUGAUGUGGCAGACGUCAUUUGUACCUCAUUGUGUGACUAGUGUAAUGAUGAUAAUUUUUUGGAGAGCCAUAAGCGUAGCAAAGAGACAUAGGUCAACGCAGACCUGGCUGUGAAAGAGAUUGUGAAUAGUGACAUAUGUAAAGAGGCCAAACUAACCAAGUCUGUGUGCAUGUGACUUGGCUGCAUUCUAUUGCAAUCACAUAUUCAAAGAAUUAAUCUUCUCAUUCCAUCUUCCAAUACGAGUUAAUUGUAUUAAAAAAUAUAUACCUUACCAGGGCAUGGUACCUAAUAUUUGGCUCACGUACUGAAUAAACUUUUGCCCAGAAGUGCCACAUAUUAGUACAUCAUCUCUUUUUCAGCAUUUGGGUGCAUAACCUGUAAUUAGAAAAUGAAUGUAUGACAGACUGUUUUCAAGAUAUUAUCAGUCUUCUCUUUACGUCUAUCAGGCCAGCAUGAUGGCAAAUCUGAGCAAGCUAUUCCAAUGUGUUGAAGACCUGCAACAGAGCACAGAUGGAUCGAUCUUCUGACCAUGAGCUAUGGAAUUCAUGACAUCAACUGUAGAUAUGGCAGUCUGAAUAAUUUCUGAAGGGUAUGUCUUUACACUGAAAUUGAUAGAAGUUCAUGUACGAGAUUAACAUAACAAUACCAAAAUCUAGCUAGGCUGGAAUCUUCUCCAUAUUUGAACCGAACUAAGACUUGCGGGAAAUGUCCAGGUGUUCCUCAGGUUUCCCAAAAAAAUAAAAUAUGCACCCAAGUAUAUCAAGUGAUACUGCAGUUUUUAGAACCUCAAAGAUGCAAAAAAAAUCUGAACAAUUUUCUUCAUAACAGAUAAGCAUUAGCACAAAGACCACUCCAUCCUAGUUGAUUAAACAGGCAAAUAUCCAUUAAAACUGAUUUAUGAGAAGUGCAAAAGGGCAUAUUUAUUGCUAUUCGUGAGCACAAGUUUUUCAGGGAGAAAUCGAUGCUACCUCACUUGUGAAUUGCACAGUUCUAUAUUUCUUGUCAAUACCAGAGUUCCCUCAAAAACUUGCGAGUGAUUUUCUCAAGUUUCAUGGACAAUGAAAAAAGUUUAUUAGAAAAGGAAUAAUUGUGCAUUAACAUCUAAUUGGAGUUUGAAUGCAUAUCAAUGUCAGAGGUGAACUGAAGAUGACAAGAAAGAAAAAAAUAACUAACAUUUAAAUGAUGCUUAAAUUGAGAUGAUGUGGAAAACCAUUUCUUGCUUCGAUUCCAACAACAACUGAGUUGUGCAAACUUUUGAGAGAUGUGCUAACAGGUAGACAGGUCGAGCUAUUUAAGUCCAACCUGAAUAACAUGACAACAUGGUUGGCAGGGAAAACAGGAGCGAGAUGUUGUGGAAAACCAUCUCUUGCAUCAAUUCCAUCAGCAACUGAUUUGUGCAAACUUCUGAUUUCAUGGUCAUGUCAAAAGAGUUUACCACAGCGUAAUGCAUAAUAAGAUGUCAAAAUAUAUCAUCAUUAGACAAGUGAACAACACCAAUAUAUACUAGGGCAUUCUAGCAUACUGAUCCUGCAAGGUGGUGAUCUCCGAAUGUUGGUGCACUUAUGUCGGGAGUCGUAUCAUGUGACCUAAUGCACACGGAUGUUGGGCCUAUGACAAGUGGGCCUCGAUCUGAAAGUGCAACUAUCCCUGGGUGGUUUUGGUAAUUCCUAACAACAUAUAGCUCAUUGAGCUAAUGCUACUUGAAGAUAAAUAUUUCAGGAAAAGCUCAAUGAUUGGUAUGGCAUGGAUUAGAAAGUGGACCCCUCAAAAUGCUAAGGACAAAAGAUUGGCUCAAGCUAUAAGCACAAGACUCUACAUUUUACUUUUAGUGAUCCAAGAUCACAUUGAAUCCAUAGGAAAAGCCAAUACUGUUAAAAGGGGGUGAGGUGUUGCUUAAUGAGUUGCUUGCUCAAAAUGCUUAGUGAUAUGCUCCAAAAACCCUCAACUACUUUCCCAUAUUCACAUAUGUCCCAAACCAAAAGUCAAACUCGGCCGCACCGAAAUCUUCUAUCCGGCGCCACUGAGUUCACUUGACAUAGCUACUGCCAGAAAC
Molecule: long non-coding RNA, 3035 nt
Filed under: Triticum aestivum (bread wheat)
Lineage: Eukaryota; Viridiplantae; Streptophyta; Magnoliopsida; Poales; Poaceae
Description: long non-coding RNA (TAES_LNC005318)
Source: RNAcentral